RNAcentral lists this ribosomal RNA (486 nucleotides) under uncultured bacterium. RNAcentral describes it as "bacterial SSU rRNA". It matches the Rfam family "Bacterial small subunit ribosomal RNA", at positions 30 to 507 of the family's 1533-position model. The record is from RNAcentral.
AUUGAACGCUGGCGGCAUGCUUUACACAUGCAAGUCGAACGGUAACAGGGAGCUUGCUCGCUGACGAGUGGCGAACGGGUGAGUAAUGCAUCGGAACGUGCCGUGUAGUGGGGGAUAACGUAGCGAAAGAGUGGCUAAUACCGCAUACAACCUGAGGGUAAAAGUGGGGGACCGCAAGGCCUCACGCUAUAGGAGCGGCCGAUGGAAGAUUAGGUAGUUGGUAGGGUAAAGGCCUACCAAGCCUGCGAUCUGUAGCUGGUCCUUGGAGAGGACGACCAGCCACACUGGAACUGAGACACGGUCCAGACUCCUACGGGAGGCAGCAGUGGGGAAUUUUGGACAAUGGACGCAAGUCUGAUCCAGCCAUGCCGCGUGCGGGAAGAAGGCCUUCGGGUUGUAAACCGCUUUUGUCAGGGAAGAAACGCUCUGGGUUAAUACCUCGGGGUAAUGACGGUACCUGAAGAAUAAGCACCGGCUAACUACGUG